This 75-nucleotide transfer RNA is filed under the name Lysobacteraceae bacterium. Its description in RNAcentral is "Xanthomonadaceae bacterium tRNA-OTHER". It matches the Rfam family "tRNA". From Rfam's summary of the family: Transfer RNA (tRNA) molecules are approximately 80 nucleotides in length. The record is from RNAcentral. Lineage: Bacteria; Pseudomonadati; Pseudomonadota; Gammaproteobacteria; Lysobacterales; Lysobacteraceae.
GGACGAUAGCUCAUGUUGGAUAGAGCAGCGGCGUAGACGCCGAAGAUCGCCGGUUCGAUUCCGGUUCGUCCACCA